This 253-nucleotide ribosomal RNA is filed under the name uncultured bacterium. RNAcentral's name for it is "partial 16S ribosomal RNA". It matches the Rfam family "Bacterial small subunit ribosomal RNA", at positions 524 to 776 of the family's 1533-position model. The record is from RNAcentral.
UACGUAGGGUACGAGCGUUGUCCGGAAUUAUUGGGCGUAAAGGGCUCGUAGGCGGUUUGUCGCGUCGGGAGUGAAAACCCAGGGCUUAACCCUGGGCUGGCUUCCGAUACGGGCAGACUAGAGGUAUGCAGGGGAGAACGGAAUUCCUGGUGUAGCGGUGAAAUGCGCAGAUAUCAGGAGGAACACCGGUGGCGAAGGCGGUUCUCUGGGCAUUACCUGACGCUGAGGAGCGAAAGUGUGGGGAGCGAACAGG